This 581-nucleotide long non-coding RNA is filed under the name Lactuca sativa (garden lettuce). RNAcentral's name for it is "long non-coding RNA (LSAT_LNC000926)". The record is from RNAcentral. Lineage: Eukaryota; Viridiplantae; Streptophyta; Magnoliopsida; Asterales; Asteraceae.
GUGAUAAUUCUGGAAGGACCAUAUUGACAUAAUCUGUAAGGAGGCAACUCUUGUUCAGAAGUGAUAGUCAAAAUGGAAUCUGGAAAUGUUUCAAAGUUAGAAUUUUCAAUCUGUUUAAGAUUAGGAAACUUAAUGCAAGAAGGAUGUUUCCAAGGAGCUGAUCUCCUUUGGAAUACUCUGUAAUGAUUGUUGUCAAGUCUUUCUGAUUUUGUGCAUAAUCAUUACAAGAGGAUCAAUGCAUAUAAGUUUAGAAUCUAACAGAUUCAAGUAAAUGACAUGAAUUUGGAAUUCAUGUAUUUGUAGUAAGGGUUUACAUGAAUUUGGAAUUCAUGUAUUUGUAGUAAGGGUUUGGGAGUGUGAAAAGAGAAUCAUUGAAGUUAUCUUCAAUGGAUCUAGUUCACAACGUAAAGAUCAUAGACAAACAUAGUAUGCAUACUUAGUGUAUGGCAUGACUAGUGUUUAGAAAACAUAGUGUACAUGCUUGGAGCAUGGGACAACUAUUGUUUUAAAUUCAAGAAUAAAGUUGAUAGCUGAAACAGUAUACAAUGAAUAAUGUGUAAUCAUAUGGUGAUAAAUAAAAG